UACGCCAUCGGCCCCCGCACCGGCGAAACCAAGACGACGGAAUACACAAAACUCAAUCCGCGUCAGAAAGUCCCCCUGCUCCAGGACGGCGAUUUCUCGAUCGGCGAAAGCGCUGCCAUNNNNNUCUUUCAAAAACCUAUGGCAGUCCGGAUAAGGCGCUGAUCCCCGACGACAAGCAGGCCUACGCGAAGUGGCUGGAAUGGUGCUUCUUCAUCGUCACCGAACUCGAUUCCA
This 234-nucleotide unclassified non-coding RNA is filed under the name Hevea brasiliensis (rubber tree). Lineage: Eukaryota; Viridiplantae; Streptophyta; Magnoliopsida; Malpighiales; Euphorbiaceae. The record is from RNAcentral.